UCCAGGUGUAGAGACCGUGGAUGGCUCCGU
RNAcentral lists this non-coding RNA (30 nucleotides) under Mus musculus (house mouse). The record is from RNAcentral. Lineage: Eukaryota; Metazoa; Chordata; Mammalia; Rodentia; Muridae.